RNAcentral lists this ribosomal RNA (468 nucleotides) under uncultured bacterium. RNAcentral describes it as "partial 16S ribosomal RNA". It matches the Rfam family "Bacterial small subunit ribosomal RNA", at positions 28 to 507 of the family's 1533-position model. The record is from RNAcentral.
GACGAACGCUGGCGGCGUGCUUAACACAUGCAAGUCGAACGGAAAGGCCCUGCUUUUGUGGGGUGCUCGAGUGGCGAACGGGUGAGUAUCACGUGGGUAACCUGCCCUUGACUUUGGGAUAACUUCAGGAAACUGGGGCUAAUACCGGAUAGGAGCUCCUGCUGCAUGGUGGGGGUUGGAAAGUUUCGGCGGUUGGGGAUGGACUCGCGGCUUAUCAGCUUGUUGGUGGGGUAGUGGCUUACCAAGGCUUUGACGGGUAGCCGGCCUGAGAGGGUGACCGGCCACAUUGGGACUGAGAUACGGCCCAGACUCCUACGGGAGGCAGCAGUGGGGAAUAUUGCACAAUGGGCGGAAGCCUGAUGCAGCAACGCCGCGUGCGGGAUGACGGCCUUCGGGUUGUAAACCGCUUUCGCCUGUGACGAAGCGUGAGUGACGGUAAUGGGUAAAGAAGCACCGGCUAACUACGUG